RNAcentral lists this long non-coding RNA (7222 nucleotides) under Sus scrofa (pig). Its description in RNAcentral is "lncRNA (ENSSSCG00000057496.1)". Lineage: Eukaryota; Metazoa; Chordata; Mammalia; Artiodactyla; Suidae. The record is from RNAcentral.
ACGAGUUUUCUCAGAGAAACAGAAAACUACGCUGAACAUUUAUGAAGAUUUUAUUUAAUUAAUUUUCGAGGUGGGGAGGAGCACUGAAUUUAGGCCUGAAUGGUAUAUGUUAAGUAUAAAUAUAGACGUAAUUUAGCUGAAGCAGACUUUAUUGAACCUGUUUUGGGGCUGAAACAGUUAGGUAUCAAACACAAACACUGACAUGGAAUUGGAACCUUAAUGGAGAAGGGUUAGACUUUCCGUGGGAAAGUUGGUCAUUUCAGGCAAAAAGGACAGAGCACUGGGCUGGAGGUGACCUGGCUGCGCUGAGUGUGGCUUGGCCGGGUGACUGCACAAGUCACGUCAGUUCUCUGGGCCAGCGUGUAGGGGUCCUUAGUCCAGAGUGGGCAGCUGGCAGCCACCUGCAUACUUUGGCCCCUUCCUUGAUUGCAUCGAUGGGGCAAAGCGAAUCUAUACCUUGCGUGUUGCUCAGAUCAGUGCCCAGUGAAGUGUAUAUUCUCAUGCUCUCUCAUAGAGCAAGUGUGCAAACGUCUCCUCACUGAACUCAGUCCCGCUUCCACCUUAUGUUCAGUGCAUCUCUUGCAGCUCUCUUUGAAUGCUCUCCAAACUCUGACUCUUACAGUCCACCCAUCAUCCCCCAUCCCAUCCCUAAAGGCUGGGUUUUGUCUCUUCAAAGUCAGGGAAAGCCCUACCAGCCCAUCUCCUUCCUCUCUAGGCUGAGCAUCAGUCAGGCUUGUGAUUUAGCCUAGGUUUCCGGAGAAGAAGACAGUGUGCUCUCACAGCCACUAGUUAGUUUCUUUCCAGCUCCUUGGACCAAGUGAUUAGCUCCUCAUUAGCGCCUCAUCAGUCACUUUUGCAUGAUGCCAGGACAACAAACCUAUAAUAAUGCCCUGUUCUAUCUUUUUGAAGUUUUCCAUUCCUUCUGUCUUGGUUAAGAGAAACUUGCCAUUUCCUUCAAAUUUCUUUAGAUUUUGUUCUUGCUCUUAAAUAUACUGAUAAAUGGUAAACCAUGGUAUUCUUUCUUUCUUUUUUUGUUCUUUGUUUUUAGCCUCCUAUCAGUGUGGAUGUGCUCUGUCCCUAUGGAAUAGAAAACACCACAUGUCAGCAACAUGUUUAUUUAUUUAGCGGAGAGGCUAUAAUAUUGACAUGCAGAUUUGUAGCAGCAUCCAAAUCUUGAAGGGUAUAAAAGAGUCUUUUUCAAUCAAAUGAGAGCUUUACUGUAAUGGCACCAGAAAGGUUUGUACCUUAAGAACAGAAUUGAAUCUGAUAACAGGCUCUCUUUUUAGGGAACAAUGAGGUGGAAGAAAUUUCCCCAAGAGCUGAGAGACUAAAUCUUCUAUUCCACAAAUCAUUCUGUAUCAAUAGAUGCUUUAGCUCUGUCCCUCAAAUUUGCUCUGGAAAACAAGAACAAACUAGGAUCAACCACCCACAUUUACUAUUAAAAACAAAUGCAUUACCUCUAAGUGAACCCCGACUUAAAAAAAAAAAAAGCAUAAUUUUUUCUCCUCCUAAUUCUGGGGAUGGUUCAAUACUGUUUCUUUUCUUGGUCUCUUUUAAUAUUUUCAAUGAGAUUUCUAAUUGUUUUUCACUUUUAUUUUGUUACGAAGGACAUGGAUUUUUAAAAAAAUUCUGUCUGCGAUAAAACGACAGGACAGACUGAGAGUGGGGUGGAGGGACAGUAAGGAGACCAGGAGGCAGAGGGCUUAUCAGCUGCUAUUUUCUACUGGGUGAUCUUGGACGAAGCAUCAGCCCUUCUGUGCCUCUGAUUCUUAAUCUACAAAAGAAAACUGCUAGCACCCCACCGGCGCCCCUGCCUGCUCUGAGGGUUAGUCUGACCCUCAAAUGACAUCGUAACUGUCAACUCGCUCUGUGGGCUCCACAGCCCUCCUCACAGGAGUGGAUCCCGCCCUCUGGGCAGUGAGUGUUGCGUGAAUCUUCCUGGAUGCUGAGCUGCAGGCAGCUUUGGGGAUGUGCCAUGUUUUGAGCUGCAUCCUUCCUCACUCCCUCCUGAGGUCUGGCGUCUAGAUUUUGUCAUUGGCAUUUUCCUCUUUGAAUCACCAUCAAUGCUGGAGGGCUAGAAAAUGCUUUUAUGAAAAUACAAGCAGAAAGAGGAUGUUUUAUCCCUUUGGCUCUGUCACUGAAAAUGCCUGGGUUUUAUUUUCCAGCCUGGAAUUCUGAACAUUUUGUAGCAAAAUGGCAUCUCCUGCUGCACUUAACACCACGUUAUUCCUUGUUGCUUUCAUGAGGUUCUGCAGAUUGAAACAUAAUGUUUUUUGAAAAGUAGGGCUAUAUGAAGCUUCCUCAAUAAAUUGGGUAGUGAAACCAAUCUUAAAGAAAGCCCCCAAAGUGAUAAUGAUCCUAAAGCAAUAUCACCUUCUUUCUAGGGCCAGCAUUUUGUAUGUGGGGAGAUAAUUUUAAGAUGGAGGGAAAAAAAAAAAAAAAAAGGUUUGCUGGAGUGAAGGCCGAAUGCUAAACCACAUUUGUAAAAGCCUUGAGCACUAACAAACAGGUGUGAUUGGGGUGCCCACUGAGAAAGGGCUCUGAUUGGAAGUGAAACCCCUGACAACACAUCCUGAGGCCAGAUUGCCCAGGUUACAAUGGUGAUGUCAUUGACAGCCCCUAAAAACAUCCAAGGUGUUUGUGACGCCAAGCACUAUUUGCAGGGGUGACUGCUUAGUGUGUUACAUCUUUCAGAUGUAAUUUCCUUUAGAUUUUCAAGUAAUGAUCAGGUGUGAUGCAACUGACUAAAUGCUGUGCAUGUUUCUUUUUGAAGGAUUUCUUACUCCAGAGAAAAAUCAGAUUAACACCAAGUACCUGAAAUCCUAAGACAUUCACGUAUAUUUUGCUCAAGUUCAGACUACCUCAGCUUCUCUUUCCUCUCUCUACCUGGGGUUCAAUUUUUGUUUGUCUUAGAUAGAAAAGCAACACCUUUGUUCUGAGGCUCUGUCCCAGUGAUUCUCCCCCUGCAGCUGUCCAGCAGACAGAAAACAUUUCAGCUUUCUUUGAAAUGAAAGUUCAAAUUGGGUUAUGACUAGGCUUUUAAAUUAUGAUGUGAAAUUGGAGAAGGCAAGCUGGUUCAGGGAGAUGUUCCAUAAUUCACUCUGCUAAUCCCAAGGAGAUGACCUCCUUCAUAGCACGGUUUAAGGCCUGCCUUGAACAAGCCAUUUCCCCCUGUAACUUCCCAGUGACAAGAUGGUUAUUUAAGGAUUUCAGAGAUAUCAUUUGAGAAAUAACUCACCAGAUAUGGGAAAUCUGAUUUAAUAUGUUAACAGGAAAAACAAGAACUUAGUUGAAUGCUUUUUUCCUUUCCUCUUGCUGAGCAUUUAGCCUUCUGGAGGCCAUUGGGAUAUUUCCUUUUCAAGGUUGGAGAAGAUUGAUUAUAGUUCAUAUCUAAGAGCAAAGGCUCCCGCAAGCCCUUUGCAGUUGGAGACAACCCAAAAUGACCCAUGUUAAUCUUUUGUCACCCUGCAGAAUCAGGGACCCUUCUUGGUUAUGUUUAUGGGCCAUGGUGGGUGAGCUCUAGGAUGUUGUCAAAAUAAAAUGAAAAGAAAGCAAGUUGGGACAAGAAAAUAAUCAGUUAGAAUGUGACAGAAAACAGUGGUCCUGCUCUCUCUGGCAAAGAUUCAUGUACUGCUGAGGGAAGAAACAAGUUUUUUUUCUCAAAUAGAUUUUACUUCCUGAGAUUUUUUGUGUUUGUGGGUGUGUAUGUGUGGGUGUGUAUGUGUGAGUGUGGGUGUGUGUGUGUUAGCUGGGAGAGGAGUUGGAAACAUUAGGAAGUAGUUGUUUACAAGUUUAGUCUUCCUCUGGAGCAUAAUAAAAGCUCUGCUCAGUUUCUCAGAAUGUGACAAUAAAAUUAGGAAUGGAGAGGACUUCAGAAGCCCAUGUUUGAGUAUAUGGUAUAUUUUUACCCAAAGACUUCUUUCAGAAACAUUUAGUCCUAGCAAGCAAUAGCAAGCCUAUGUCUGCCAUUGGUAUCAGGAAAAGGAAUAAGUGAAGAGGUAGUUUCUGAAGACCCCAGUGUUGCAUCCAUUUAUAAGCUUCUUUCCUAAGAGUUCAGGUUCCUUGACUUACAUGAGAGAAUUUUCCAAUAGGGCCUACAUGGGGUGGGGGGCUGGGUUUGAAUGAGCUGCUCAAUCAGUACUAUGACAAUGCAUUAACUCUGUCCCAUGGAAAAACUAGGAUCAUCCUAGGGCUGCUUUCAUUUGGAAUGGCAUAAAGAGAGGCUUUUGAAACAUAUUUUGAGGACUGGCACCCAAAGCCAGCCUCUGUUGAAAGAGUUUUCAGUUUAAUAGGCAGAAUUUCUCUCUUCUCCCAUCUAUCAGUGAUCUGGGGUGGGGGGUGGGGGGGUAUCUGUUUUCAGCACCAGGGACAGCAAACACCUCCCUCAAUUGAACCAAUGUGCUCUAUCCUGAUUGACCUGCCAGUCAAGGAAGGGAAGGGCUUUUCUUUUACUCCCAUCCCUUGGGGCCUCAACCUGGAAGGUUUUAUCCUUAAGUUCGGGUAUUUACACCUUUUAUUUAUUACCAAGCUUGUUUCUGUCACAUUCCAGAUCUGCUAACAAAUGAUAGGUGUUGGCCCGACAUGCCCAAGUCUCCUGGCUCAAAGCAGUGGAAAGAAAGACACUUAGACAUCAGUGGAGGACACACUUGGCACAGGAAGCCACUGCACAUUCUUCACAAAGGCACUGUUGACUUGUAAACUCCCAAAUGGAGGAUUGCUUUUCGGCAAUCACUUGGAAAAACAUUUCUGCACAUUUCCCACAAAGUACAAGUCUAUGUUUCACUCUGUGGCAUUUGGAGGCAAUAUUCCACAGGAGUUGAGCAGAAGCUAUUAGCUUCAGGGGUAGAGAAGGGCCCCGGUGAUGCUGCUGUUUGGUAUUUUGAAGACUCAGGGUGGGGGCCUGGCUUUGAAAGCCAGCAGCCACUCUUCAAUUCUGAACGCUGUUUAGCAGCUAACUUUGCCUUAAACAAUCAUUUUAAAAAUGAAAAUGGCUCCUUAAAGUCUCCAUCAAGCUCGACUGAAGGGGGUGCACUGAGAAAAUGCAUAGCAGAAGCACAUGUUUUCACUUUGCUUUGUGAUGGGACAGUUGCCAUAGAGCACAAUCAUACCUAGAUGUCACCUUAGAGGCAACAUUGUUUUCUCUUAACUAAUUGACUUCAUUUUCCUCACUCAUGUCAGGAUGGAUUGUGCUGUGAAGGCAAGAGUGUUGCUGAGGAUCUCACCUUAAAGAUUGUCUUCUAUUUCACAGAUGUGAGAUCAAUUCCACCUCAAUUGCCUCUGAACUAUCUAAUUAAUAGCUUUCAACACUCCAUCAAACCCUCUCCUCUACUUUCUCCCCCUAUCUUCAGUUUGGCUUAGCAUAAUUCAUAAUAUUUAGUAGUGUAAGACAUAAGGGAUCCUUUUUAAGGAUAAAUGAGGUGGAAGAACCAGACCAGAGCCAGAUCUCAGAGGAGCAAGGUCAAUGGAGCUGUGACAUUGAACUUUGGAAUGGGUCUAAGGAAAAUCUACUGUUUCCCUCCAUUCCUCAUCCUCUUGAGGGCAGCCCCCUCCAGUGUUCACACUUGCCAUGCAAAAAAGGCAUAGCAAGAGUUUCUCUAGAUUAUUUAUAUGAGGAAGGUGGGAGGGCAGGGUCUCAAAUUCUCUGUUAGUGUCCUUUGGAAUAGAGGAGCUUUGUUUUAUAUCAAAAUCAAGGAAUGAUCCUAGUUUAGAAAGCACAUACCCAUGAAUGACUGACAGCUGGAAUAGAGUGCAAUAAGACAAAUUCUUUCCCCUUAAAACACAGAAGAAGGAGGUGCAGAUUGACUGGUAGGAAACACAGGAUCCAUCGGCUAGAGGGGAAGGUGGUCUGAUAUGGGGAUACAGAAGCAGUCAUCUUUAGAAGUGGAGGUGAUGCCCAGGGAAACCUCAGAAGAGGACAGGCUGGAGGAUAAAAUCCUAUAGAGGUUCUCAGAACUUUUUCUGCAAAAUUCCUAAAAUUUCCAAGGGCACUACUAGCCCUCUGCCUCUUUAGAGGUGAGCUCAGUUCUACUUCUGGGCUCCUAAGGCAAAUGCCCUAGAAACGCCAAAGUCUUGUAUUUUCCACUCUCAGCUGACACUGGCUGUCCAGAGUGGGAUUGUUCCCCUUCCCUAUGUGAAAGGGACUUGUUUUCAGGAGAAGUGUCCUUUAAAUAUCCAGCUAAAACUGGAGGUAAUUUUUUGCAUGAAUGGCUUUUUACAGCUAGGUCUAAAGCAGAACAAAACUUGUAUUAAACUAAGUGCUACUUUACAUAUCUUAUUUCAAGGGAAAUGAAGGAUUUAUUGUCGUGUAAAUGAUAUACACUGAUUUGUUUCCUACUGGACAUCACAUGUCCCUUUAUCUUUAGGCUGAUGUUGUGCAGCAAACUUUGAAUAUCUGGAAAAUCAGCAGGUACCUACUUCAGUGCACUAGUUGGGUAUUAUGUUCUCAGAGAGGAAUUUUGUGAAUGAAGUUUGGGUGCUCUUAUAACUGAUUUCCACUCCUAUUCCUAAGCUUUCUAUACUAAAUAUAUGUAAAGUGAUUAUAUCUUGUCUGAUCCCAUGUGUUUGUGUGUGUUUUCCAAUGUUUGUGUAAAUAUAUCGGCCAUCUGAAGGGUUAGUUGGAUUAUGGCAACUGCUGAGCAAUGGUGUAUAGGGCAUGUGAACAUAUGGUACACAUACACACUUAUUUUGAGGCCAAGCUAAUCUUACAGAGUUUAGAAAAGAACCAAUGUAGCAUGGCUUGGGAAAAGUGUAAUAAGGGAUAUAGGUAUUGCCAAGCCACCAUUCGUUGGUGCAGGCCUUGGCAGCAGCAGAGUUGAGGUGUGCUCAACCGGAUUUUACAUCAUUUAUGUUAAUUUCACUUGAUAGCCCCUUGGUCUGUUUUAUGACUUAGAAAUAUUUUUCCAUGAUGCCCAUUCCUUUUUUUCCCCAGGCCACUGGAAAUGGCUGAUUCUUGCUUCCCAUGAUUUGGAUACCCAAUAUGUUAACUUAAAAUGGGUGGCUGAGGUUUUAGUAAAACUGGGUUUUACUAAAAGUGCCCUUUCCUUGAGGUACCAUUUCUUCCAUUUUUUUUUUUUUUCUUUCUGACAAAUAUACCCAUUGGCUAUGCUAAAGUUAUUGUCAUCCUGGCAAGUCUUGGAGACUCAGUUAAAGUGAUGACUGUAUUUGCCUUUGGAGAACAGGCUCAUGGUCUAAGUAAAAUUCUUAUGUAAAGGUGCGCUUUAGG